GGGGUUUCACCAAGUUGGUCAGGCUGGUUUCGAAUUCCUGGCCUCAAGUGAUCCACCCGCCUUGGCCUCCCAAAGUUCUGGGAUUACAGGAGUGAACCACCUUGCCUGGGCUUACUUAGCUGAUCUCUUAAGUUUCUUUCCCAUUUUAAUAAUUUUUAAAAUUGUAAGUCAUAAGUUAGAACAUAGGGCUCCCUCUACAAUUUUUAAUAUCAGUUUUAGCUUCUAAUACCUUUAAAUCUGCUCUCAAGAACACUCACACCUCCCCAUAAAAGGCACAUCCACUGUAGUAUGCAAGCCUAUAGUCAUUGAAACUCAGCUCUAUGUUAUUGUGGCCCAGCUGUUUGGUGGCUCUCACAUCUAUAAGCGAGACAGUUUUGCAAAUAAAUUCAUAAAAAUCCAGGAUAUUGAAAUUCUCAAAAUCCGAAAACCCAAUGACAUUGAAACAUUCAAGAUUGAAAACAACUGGUACUUUGUUGUUGCUGACAGUUCAAAAGCUGGUUUUACUACCAUUUACAAAUGGAACGGAAACGGAUUCUACUCCCAUCAAUCCUUACACGCGUGGUACAGGGACACUGAUGUGGAAUAUCUAGAAAUAGUCAGAACACCUCAGACACUCAGAACGCCUCAUUUAAUUCUGUCUAGUAGUUCCCAGCGUCCUGUAAUUUAUCAGUGGAACAAAGCAACACAAUCAUUCACUAACCAAACUGACAUUCCUAACAUGGAGGAUGUGUACGCAGUGAAGCACUUCUCAGUGAAAGGGGACGUGUACAUUUGCUUGACAAGAUUCAUUGGUGAUUCCAAAGUCAUGAAAUGGGGAGGCUCCUCGUUCCAGGAUAUUCAGAGGAUGCCAUCGCGAGGAUCCAUGGUGUUCCAGCCUCUUCAAAUAAAUAAUUACCAAUAUGCAAUUCUUGGAAGUGAUUACUCCUUUACUCAAGUGUAUAACUGGGAUGCAGAGAAAGCCAAAUUUGUGAAAUUUCAGGAAUUAAAUGUUCAGGCACCAAGAUCAUUCACACAUGUGUCCAUUAAUAAGCGUAAUUUUCUUUUUGCUUCCAGUUUUAAGGGAAAUACACAGAUUUACAAACAUGUCAUAGUUGACUUAAGCGCAUGAGACACCAAAUUCUGUGGCUGCCAUCAGAAAUUUUCUACAGUACAUGACCCGGAUGAACUCAAUGCAUGAUGACUCUUCUUAUCACACUUGCAAAUGAAUGCCUUUCAAACAUUGAGACUGCUAGAACCAAGCACUACCAGUAUCUCCAUCCUUAACUGUCCAGUCCAGUGAUGUGGGAAGUUACCUUUUAUAAGACAAAAUUUAAUUGUGUAACUGUUCUUUGCAGUGAAGAUGUGUAAAUAAGCGUUUAAUGGUAUCUGUUACUCCAAAAAGAAAUAAUAUGUACUUUUCCAUUUAUUUAUUC
RNAcentral lists this small RNA (1412 nucleotides) under Pan troglodytes (chimpanzee). Its description in RNAcentral is "processed transcript". The record is from RNAcentral. Lineage: Eukaryota; Metazoa; Chordata; Mammalia; Primates; Hominidae.